GAUUGAACGCUGGCGGCAGGCCUAACACAUGCAAGUCGAACGGUACCAUUUCUAGCUUGCUAGAAGAUGACGAGUGGCGGACGGGUGAGUAAUGCUUGGGAACUUGCCUUUGCGAGGGGGAUAACAGUUGGAAUCGACUGCUAAUACCGCAUAAUGUCUUCGGACCAAACGGGGCUUCGGCUCCGGCGCAAAGAGAGGCCCAAGUGAGAUUAGCUAGUUGGUAAGGUAACGGCUUACCAAGGCGACGAUCUCUAGCUGUUCUGAGAGGAAGAUCAGCCACACUGGGACUGAGACACGGCCCAGACUCCUACGGGAGGCAGCAGUGGGAAUAUUGCACAAUGGGGGAAACCCUGAUGCAGCAUGCCGCGUGUGUGAAGAAGGCCUUCGGGUUGUAAAGCACUUUCAGUUGUGAGGAAAAGUUAGUAGUUAAUACCUGCAAAGCCGUGACGUUAACAACAGAAGAAGCACCGGCUAACUCCGUGCCAGCAGCCGCGGUAAUACGGAGGGUGCGAGCGUUAAUCGGAAUUACUGGGCGUAAAGCGCACGCAGGCGGUUUGUUAAGCUAGAUGUGAAAGCCCCGGGCUCAACCUGGGAUGGUCAUUUAGAACUGGCAGACUAGAGUCUUGGAGAGGGGAGUGGAAUUCCAGGUGUAGCGGUGAAAUGCGUCGAUAUCUGGAGGAACAUCAGUGGCGAAGGCGACUCCCUGGCCAAAGACUGACGCUCAUGUGCGAAAGUGUGGGUAGCGAACAGGAUUAGAUACCCUGGGAGUCCACACCGUAAACGCUGUCUACUAGCUGUGUGUUGUCUCUAAGACGUGCGUAGCGAAGCUAACGCGCUAAGUAGACCGCCUGGGGAGUACGGCCGCAAGGUUAAAACUCAAAUGAAUUGACGGGGGCCCGCACAAGCGGUGGAGCAUGUG
Molecule: ribosomal RNA, 919 nt
Filed under: uncultured bacterium
Lineage: Bacteria
Description: bacterial SSU rRNA
Rfam family: Bacterial small subunit ribosomal RNA
Source: RNAcentral